GUCUUUUCAAAACAUUUCAUAUCCCGCCGCUUCACUGCUCUUAUCUCUCUCUGGCGAUUCAGGAACACCACUUCUCAAACCCUAAUCCUAAUUGCACCACUCAUUUCCGUCACUUUAUUCAUUUCUCUUUAUCUCUCUCUCUUGAUUUCCUCUGGUUCCAUCAUAUCUUCUUCAAUAUUCAUUUCAUUUAAGGUGGAUUACUGUUAAUAUUUACACAUAUGAUGGUGUGGUGGUGUUUUUGAUGUCGAAUGUUAUUUUAAGGCAGGUCCUUUAGGGUUUGGGUUUGCUACGAAGUCGACUCAGAAGUUUAGAAAGAUGGAGCCAAAUGGGCUUAUGGUUAGUCGCCAAGAAAAACCGGAGAAUAUUUGAGGAAUCAGGACGAGAUUUCAUCUCGGAUCGGUGGAUGGUUCAAAGAAUCUAGGGUUUUGAUGUCAGGACCACAAGGUGAAAAACGAAGAUCAAAGUUGAUUUGAGUCCCUUAACGAUUUCAGAUCUCUAUUGACCCUCACCCUAGAAUCAAAUCCAUUUUUACUCGACCUCCAUCAGGUAAUGAUGAUUUGGAGGGUAAAAGUGAAGAUGACUUCUCUGACCGUACUUAAAGCAAGUUGAAGUUUGCACCAGAUAAGGUGAUGCAAGUGUUGUUUAGAUGGUUGGCUGGAAAUCCUUCCCACAAAUGGGAUAUAAUGGCUCAGUAUGGUUAAUAGCAAGUCCUGCUGACCCUUGGUCUGAAGAUUAUGGAUACUCAAAAGAGAAACCAAGUGAGUUCGGGUGAAGAGGCUUUGGCAAAGAUCCCACAGUUGAAACUAGCUUUCUGCCAGACAGCAUACUCUUUCAAUGAGAGAGAGGCAGAGGAGCAAAGUUGAGCAUGAAAGGUUGCGGAAACAAUGGCUACGUGAGCAAGAGUGCUAGGAGAGCAUGAAAAGUUAUAUUUUGUAGGUUCGAAAGGGAGAUACUAUUUGCGAGUUCCUACAUGCUGUUUUGCAGCAACUUGCAUCUGAAUUUUGACUUUAUGUUGUCCUCGUUUUACAUUCGCACACUGGUAGAGUUGUUGAGAGGCACUGGUAUGAGAAGAACAAGCACAUAUUUCCUGCUUCAAGAUGGGAGGUAGAUAAUGGUUGCACCAGGCACUUAAUUCCAACCUUGUAUGAUGAUGAUUGGGAUGUUCUUAUAGCAUUUUCUUGGCUUGGUAAGUCUCUCAAUUGCGAAAGAAGGUUUAUUUAGUCUUUCAAAGUAUGUGGCAUACCCAUAUAGCAUGAUCUAUAGACGGGCUAGCUAAUCUUUUUUAUAAUGGUAUGACAAUAAGCAUGGUGCUGACUUGUUUUGUUCACUCAAGAUCAUGCUGGUCAUAAAUUUGGUAUUCAGUUCAAAUGAUUGAUAAACUGCAAUAGUAUAAUGAACAGUUAGAGGUAUGUCUUAUUGUCUACAAAUAUUACGUCUGCAAAGUUACAUAAAUUAUAGACAAUUGGAGCAAAAACUAAAGGAAAGUCCCAGAGGUUUAGUUUCUGGGCUUAAGGAUAUUUUAUAUCAAUUUUACUUUUUAGAGUAAAUUAUGAUUUUGGCCCCUAACACUAACCCUAUCCAUUAAAUGUUAGGGGCCAAAAGGGUUAGCAAAAAAGACGUCAGGGGCCAAAAAGGUUAGAAAAAAGACGUUGG
This is a long non-coding RNA of Helianthus annuus (common sunflower), 1653 nucleotides long. RefSeq lists it as uncharacterized. The transcript is spliced from 8 exons. The record is from RefSeq and is a predicted model, not a curated record. NCBI's taxonomy places the organism in Eukaryota, Viridiplantae, Streptophyta, Magnoliopsida, Asterales, Asteraceae.